UAAACAUGGACUCCUCCAGUCCCCCCCCGUCUCUCGGUGAGAGAUGGACUAUUCCAGAACUUUCCCCUGGAGUACAGAUGUAAAGAGAGCGCGUGCUAACGGUAAAGGGAAAGUGGUUAGGAUCAGUAUGAUGGAAAAAGUUUCUACAGGAACAUCAGAUAAUUCCUCCAGAUCCCAGGAGUAACAUUGUGUCUGCGCAUGCGUGUAUCACACUAAGCACAUUUCUAUGCAGAACCAAUAAAGGAACUGAUGGAGAAUUUCAGUUUCACUGUGAGACUUCAUUGUUCUGACCGGACAAACUGUAGCCUUCAGACAAACACUAAACUUCAGCAAACAACACAAACACUACAAUCAGCUUAUUUCAUGUAACCAGCAAUGAAAUAUCAUUUUAAAGAACAGGAAUAAACUUACCCAAGUUACUGGAGAGGAGAACCACAGUACGGUCAUUAUCCUCAGUGUGUACUCACAGUCUGAGACUGACCCAUAACACAUGAACUUUGAGCAGCGGAAGUGCUGCACCAAUGAUACUCCCACUCCACAAAAUACAGGAAAACAAUGAAAAAUGAAUCUCACCAGAUACACAGAUAUCACCUCAUUUUUUAGUUUGAGGAAGCUGUUUAGAAGAGUGAGAGAGUGUGGUUCUGGUUUAAUAACACCUCUAUCACAAGAAUCAGUGCUGCGGUUGUCACCUAAAACCAGGGAGAAACUGAUUUUCUAAAAUAUCACAACCAAACUCAUCACACACUACUGUAUUAAUCUUGUAAAAUAAAAUGAAGAUGCUUUAUGUUCA
Hemibagrus wyckioides is the source of this 790-nucleotide long non-coding RNA. RefSeq lists it as uncharacterized. The transcript is spliced from 2 exons. Lineage: Eukaryota; Metazoa; Chordata; Actinopteri; Siluriformes; Bagridae. The record is from RefSeq and is a predicted model, not a curated record.